UGUCUGCAAUGAACCAACUGAAUUGUAGACCAACAGAUGCCGUCAGGAUUUCCGUUAGAUUGACCGCGUCAACUCACAUGGGACAGGGAAGAUGAAACUGUGAAGUAUGAAGUUACCACGGGGGCUUUUAGGGAAGAAGGAGAGAGGCAGCUGCAUCGAGGAGGAGAUAAGGUUGGAAGACUGUUGAAGUCUUGUGGUCGUUGAAGUCUUCAGAAACCAUUAACCUGCAAACAAACCAUAAGAAUGAGAAGAAAGGGUCAGAUGUAUCAAAACAGGGCGAAUUUCCAACACGCUUUGUUGCCAAUGAAGUAGAUCGCCCGGGCUUUGCUAUCGUCAAUCACAAUCUCAGACAAGCAGGCUCAAUUGGCAUUCUUGUUUUUGCCCCUCAAUUCAUUGCUCACUCUAAUCAGCUAUCAGUUUGAAGAAAAUUCCGCUACUCAAGUAUGGUGAUUUCAAGAAUUACAGUGGACUUUUCAGUCAUCAGGACCUUUAGAUCAUACAGCUGAGCAAGAUAAACCACUAUCUCCAAUAUGAGGUUCCACAUAGCCGAUAUUGAUGUAUUUAUGUCAUAGUAAUUUAAAGCUGGAAAAAUUGCGUCGACAUGCUGCAACCAAACAACGGAAUUUCGUAAGGAGAGAGGAUAGAUUGUUUUCCAUGAAAAAUUAAAAUGCAAUAACCAUAAUUAUCCCAACGAGAAAAGAAAUGGUACUUACAGGUCACAGCUUUUAAUGAUGGUGAAUGAGUUUAUAUCCAUCUUUUCCUAGCAAGAGUGAUUUAUAUCCAGGGGAGCAAAGAGGGCAAGUGGAUGGGACAUGUUCAUGAUUAAUUGUUGUUCAAGACUAGCUUGCUUACAAGCACAAACCUUGUACAGAAUUUCCUUGAUCUUGUUGUGGAUCUAUUCCUUGCAUGUAAAUAGAAAUUUUGUGAGAGUUCCAUGUAGAAAUCUUGUUUAAAUUACCUUCAUUGUUUAGAACUUGUGUAUAAAUCACUUCCAUGCAUAGAUAUGUAUACACUCAAUGUAACAGUUUGACCAAGAGUUGAACUAGCACACUUGCAGAUAAUAUGUAAUUGCAUUUGGAGGUAAAGAACUUCAAUUCUAGUACAUGUUACGGAUAAACAUUGUAUAAAGAGGAAAUUGGCUGUUUUCAUUAUUUUGCUUAUCCUAACUUCAAAGUUAGUGUAAGUACUUGAUAUGACCAGAUUAAAGCGCGUCUAUAUAUACUGAAUAUUAGACAAAUGGGGACUAGGCUUCAAUCAUAUUGACAACUUGAUUCUGAAUUUGGACACCUUGGCCUGUUUUAACAUUCCCAUCAAAUUUCUGAAAAAAACUACCACUUAUCAUUUCUACUCCAGUGAUGAAAAGAGCUCUGGAUUUGGUCACGAUGCCAUCUCUUUACAAUGUGUUUCAACAUCCAGAUUCCUCCAAUGCCAAAAACAAAAACAAAAAA
Molecule: long non-coding RNA, 1448 nt
Organism: Rosa chinensis
Lineage: Eukaryota; Viridiplantae; Streptophyta; Magnoliopsida; Rosales; Rosaceae
Exons: 4
Source: RefSeq, a predicted model, not a curated record